This is a non-coding RNA of Xyrichtys novacula (pearly razorfish), 25693 nucleotides long. Lineage: Eukaryota; Metazoa; Chordata; Actinopteri; Labriformes; Labridae. The record is from the annotation of a GenBank genome assembly.
AAGCCUAGUCUGCCCCUCCUGUUUUACUGCAGAUUUCCGAGGCUUGCAGCCAGCAGCAUCGAGAGUCUCUAGGCUGAAAUUUUAUAUAAAUGGACGCACAAGGUUAGAUUCUAGUUGUCGUGGUUGUGUUUGUUCAUCUUGUAAUGUAUCUAUGUAACGUACCAAAGUGGAUUUGUGUGCAUUAUUGCAUGUAAUAAGCACCCUUGGAUGUCUCAUCAUCGGUCGUGUUGGUCCUGUCAUGAGCAUGUUGUGAACCUCCUUAUGUCACUCAGGCCUGGGCGAAGCAGGCAGGAAACAGCCACACUGAGUCAGAGUGUGAGAGUGAGGAUGUGUGUGAAAUUCAGAUAAAAGAAUAUACAUAGAGGUGAAAUUGGAUAGUUGAACAGCACAGCUAUCAAUGUAUCUCAACAAUCAUCUGCAGACCUGCAACCUGCCUGCUAGAGCAUCAGCAGAUCAUUUAUUAUGACAAUGCAGAGUCAGCUGUUUGAGCUCAAGUGGAGGUAGGCACUCUGUGGCAAAAGUCACACACCAACAUGGGUGUUCCUCAGGAAAGAAACAAACCUGUCUUGUUCCAGCACUAUAAUUUGGGGUCUUUGUAGCAAUAGCUCAACCUGACAUUUAUGAGCGCAGUUGUAAAACAAUAUGUAUCGACUGUGGGAUCAACAGCUGCAACACGUAUCCAAACACCGAGACAGGAAUGAACCGGUCAAACAAAUCAGACUGCAUUCUCUAAACACUGGACAGUUGAAGAGAGUCAAAAUCAUGCAAAAAAGUGAGAUAGGGAGUUAAUCCAAGGACAGUAGGCAAAGAGUAAAUGGGAAGACAUACAGAUAGAGGAUUAGAGAUGCAGAUAGAGGAUAUAUUCAAAGAAAGUAACAGGCAGAGGACAUGCAGGAGUGAGAGGACUCUGGCCCAUAUGCAGCAGUAAGCUGCCAUUGCAGGCCUUUUGGUCACGUUUUUCCCUCUGUGCCUCUGUUCACUGAAGGGACAGUGCAGCAGGGAGAGCAAGCAGACACACUCGCACACACACUCGCACACACACACAGACACACACACAAAUGCAUGCAAAGCGGUGCCUUAUUUGCAAGGGAAAGCUGGUGCCCCUGCAGCAGAUUGUUGCCAUGCCUCGGUGCCUUCCUUGCUGUGGGCCCAGACAAUGACCACGCAACACCGUAAGACCCCUGAACAUCAGAGCAGGCUGAGCUCAGGGGUUGAGACACAAGUUUCCUCAGACACACAGCUGUGGACACUGUUUUUGUUCGGGGUGUCGUGACCUUCUUGAAUGACCAGAUGACUGGGGUAAAACUUGAAGUACAGAUUCUAAUAAAUAGAUUAAUAAAUGUUGACACUUGAAGUUUCAGCAACAACAAAAUUAUCAUAAAAAAAAAUCAAAAUAGUCAGCUGAACCAUUUGCACAAAGACAGCUUGAGUUCCAAACUUUUUUAACAGGGAUUUUCAAACAUUAAGGCUCAUAACUUCAACUCAGUCUGUAGAUUUCCAGGUUAAGAAUAAAGUUUUACUUCCUUCACCCUCUUCCUGUGUAAGGGUCUGCAUCGACCCGUUUUUGAUUUUAAAUACUUUUAAGAACCACUUAAAUAAGUUUUUUUGCAUAAAGACUAUUUGACUUUGUCAGGAACCUCUAUUUCAUCAAAAUAAAAAAUAAAAAAAUUAAAUUGACUAAAUUUUAAAAUGCUCUUAUUAACAUUAUGGCACUUGUCAUGUUGGGGUCGCUGUUGACCCGGUUAGAUCAAAUUCUAAUAAUCGGAGCAAAAACUGAAAUCAUAAGUGCACCGUCAGGCACCACACUGACAGUCAGAUCCUCCUCCAAUCAUGUGAGAUUUAGGAAAUUCAAAUUUUGUUUUUCCCUGCACAAAAACAGCCUCAGGCAUGUCCAGACAUGAGAGAUCAGUUCAGUAUAGAUGUCUGUGUGAGGGGUAUACUGACAAAGAAAGGCCUAGAGGACCACAACAAAAAAUAUUAUUAGCAAUAUUUUCAUGGAUAAUGAAGCCUAACAAGGUAACAGAGAGAUGAGAACCGAAGUGGAUGACAUGGGUCAAAACCAACCCUUAACAUAGUGGGCGCGUAGUAAAAGCUAACACAGGAGGAAGGUUAAUGACAAAUUGCAUGAUGGCUAGUAGAUAGGGAGAGAAAAGUUGGUGAAUAUUGACUGAACAGCAGGCUGCUGUAUGUAAACUCAGAUUAAAGCUGGUGGUCAACACAGAAACACAAAAUAAAUCAAACAUCCACUCAGUUAAGAGUAGUAAGGCUAAUACAAUUUGGGGCUUUCAAGCUGUCUAUGUUUGACUUAGUAAUCAGCACUUAGACAAAUUCACAAGAGUUACAUUUAAUUUCCUUAAGCCUAAUAUUUGUUAUAGGGACAAAUAUUUGCCAUAGUUUCCCUCUGGUUCUUUCAGUGCAGUAAGAUUUAAAUAGCCUUCACAAAAUAGCUGCUUCACAGAGCUGAUGAGACGUGUCGAUGAUAAAGUAAAAGUACAGCAAGGAUUCAUAGAUGCAAUCAGAUCCUCAAGCCCACAGGGUGACUUUGUCACUGUGGUGCUGCUAAUAAAGUUAUUUUCAAUCUCAUUUCAACCAAAAUGGCUGCCAGUAGUAUCCUCUCUUAACCUCUGCCAUACCUUCAUGUCUUUCACUCCUUCCUUUCCCCCCAUCACAAUACACCUCCCCACCUUGCAGUACAAGAACGGAGGGGAGAGAAAUAUCCCCCAAUUCCUGGUCUCCACAGCAACAGCAGUCAGAUGACCUUGUCUCCGACUUGUUCUGCUGAGUCAGAAAUGGAGGGAUGGGUGAGGGGGAUGUGAUGAGGAGAGAACAGGAGGGAGAGAAAGAGAGAAGGACGGCACAGAAAGAAAGGUGGUACUUAUUGUUAUUCUAAUAGAUUCAAGCUGGUAUAAUUGCUCAUUGAGUCAGUGCUGUGUCAUACCCAUUUACAUAAGGCUGAUUGUUUCUGUUAAAGAGCAGCCGUCCACAUAGAGCUCAGCAUAGAAGGACAGGGUCCUGAAUCAAUGGUGUGUAUAGUCGGUGAAUUUACAAAGUAUGACUUAAAGAUGGAGUGUAUGAUUCAGAGCUGCAGAUAAACAUUAUGCUCCACGGGGCUCCAGUGUCACUGACCAUAUGUGGUUACUAAGGAAAUGUGUGAAACAUGUGUCAGCAGGACUAAAACAGUGUGAGUGUGCGAGGUGCUUGUUGUUGCAUCCACUGUGUGUAUACUAUAUAUACACUAUAAAGACAAAGUAUGUGGACAACCAUACUUUACAUUCAUAAAUGACUGAUGAAAAGCCUCUGGUAAGGCUUUUCAAAAGGUAUUGGACUGUGGUUGCAGGGAUAUAGUCCAAUCCAGACAGAAAACACACUUGCAUUUAAGCAUUGUGAUGUGCUUGACUUGCAGACACCACUUUAGUUCAUCUCAAAGGUUUCUGAUGGGGUCAUGGUUCCAUGUGGGAAAGUCAGGUUUUUCCACACCAAAUUCCAAAGAAACCAUUGCUUCAUGGACCAUGCUUUGUGCACAUAUUGCUGUUACGCAAUGCUUGGAUAAUUUCAUGCUCAUAACUGUCUGUACAGGAGUAUGUAAAGAGGCCAUAUUAUGCAUAGACAGUCAAAAUUAAGCUUAGAGUGGGCGGGGGGUUGUAUUUGUGGGCUUGCAUGCUCGUGAAAGUGUGUGUGUGAAGGUGAUCCUGGCUAAUCCGGUUUUAUAAAUGUCUGACAUAAUCUGUGCUCCACUCGCAGUGUCCAGAGCAGAAAGAGGAAAGGAGACGAGACAGAGAGAAGAUGGGAGGGGGGUAGAGAGUGUGGGGGGAAAAGAGACAGAAGCUAAAAAACGAAGAGGGCUGAGAUCAGAGGGGACAGAUGAUGCGAAGGCAGAUGGGGGGAAAAGAUGAUAAAACUACGGCGUGAGAAGGAAGAGAGCUUAAAAAAGAAAUAAGACAAUAAAUGAAAGAGCUGAGGAAAGAAGGAGCCAGUUGGGCCACAGAAAAUUCCUCUGGGAUUAAGUGACAAAAGAGUGAGACAAUCAAUGAAGUUUCAUUUAUCAUGCAAUGACAGAUGUUUGGAAAGGGCAGGAGAGACUAAAGGUUGGGGGAGUCAAUAAUCAGGAAUUUGCUAAGGAUAGCAAUAAAAGCAUAAAAAGAAUCUAUAACUGUGGUGGAUUGGGGUGAAUCUAUGAACUGUUGGCACUACAGAAUAGGAUAUGACAGAAAGAUAUUACAGCCUAGGGGAAGAGCACGAGUAACAUAUGAAGUUGCUUUGAUUCAUUCAAACACUAUAUUACAGAAAAGAAAGGAAAGUUGACAGUGUGUCAUCCAGAUUUUUUUUGACCACAUAUAUUGUAGCUUCCUCCUAAAUAGUCUUCUGAUGCUGCACUGAAUCUGAUUUUAAGGCUUAAAACAACAUCAGGGUUCAUGUCUUUGUUUUACAGGGUGCAGAGAAAUGAACAGCCUUAUUGUCGCUUUCUUUGAGGUUUUUACCCCAAAUUUUACAUUUGGACAAUACACAAUAAAUGACCACUAUCAAGAAUCAGCAGCAGGAGAUUUCUAGUCAGAAGACAUUAUUUAAGCAUGCAGAGGAUGAGAUAAGCAAAGAUUGCUUUGUCCACUGGGGGCGCCAAAAUGAGGACUAACCCAGAAUUCCUCACAAGAGCUUUAAAGUCCCACUUCGAUUGUUUUUUUGUUUUUUUUUUACUACUUAAAGUGUUAUCUGUUGUCUUUAAAUCGUGAUUAUGAAGUUUUAGCCGAAAUUGCGUUACCUGUGUCAUUUUUAAGGGCUUUUCUUCUGCAGAGCUCCAGUAGCUCAUAAGCAAUUCCCCCCAUGAGUCGUGGGCGGAGUCAGCGCUGCUCUGCACACUCCUCUUAAUGCUAGCUUGUAGCCUAACAUUGCCGGUGUAUUAAAAGUAGCAGGUAACAUAGGAGCUAUUCAGCUCUCGGACACAAAUGUCUUUAGGGACACGAUGAAAGUUAAAAUCAUAAUUAGCUUUCUUGCGAGCAUUACAAUCCGCUAACGCACACGCUUGUUCUGUGAUUGUCCUGUCUAUUUCUCCAAGUGUGACAUGCAUAGCAGGGCUCUGGGGGUGGAGCUUGGAUUUGCUACGUAGGAAAUCUAACUGUAUCUGAACCCGCUGUUUGGGUCUGCCAGAGAUUCACGGCGAUUUGAAUGCAGAAAUACUAAGAAAUGCAAUUUUGCACUUAUUUUUCUCAUGAUAUGCCAUAUGAACAUGUAAAAAACAAGAAAAACAUGAUUUUGUGCGUAGUGGGUCUUUAAAUAAUCAAUCCCACGGUAUGCAGAAUCCACAUCUAUACAGUUAGAAUCCCCUGGUCUUGGGCAGAAAGCAGUUAGGCCUGAUGUGAUUCUUAUUUAUCGGGCACAGUAGAAUCCCAAAAAACAACAUUAGCAGUGUGCAAUACAAAUGAAUGUCCAAUGACCAACUAAUGUCGAACCAACAUGAACAUCCUGCUAGCUUAAGUAUCAAAGGUACAACUACCAAUUCAUGUAGUAUAGUGAGUUUACAACAAGGUAAAUUUGCUGAUAAAUUACAGAUUGAGUGGGUUUGUUAAGUUGGCUAGCUUGCCAUAUAAGGCUGCCUCUAGCUAACUCAAGCACUAUGAUAGAUUGUGUUGUUUACAGUCAAUAAUUCAUAAGAUAAUUAACACCAUAAAUCUACAGUGGACAGGUGACAUAAGGCUCGUUUACUACGUGCAGUCGAGUGUGAGUUUGUCAUUGCCAAGGAUGUUUUCUUUCACGUAUUUAGUGUUGUUUCCGAUACUUCCGACAUUAAAGUCUAGCGAAAUGUAAAUCCUGAAUGAAGAAGUAGAAAAUUUAAUGUUUGAGAGCUUACGCUUCACUGUCUCUGUGGGUUAGUGUGGGGAUAAUAAAAGUCUUUAAUCUGCAUGGAGCCUUUUUAUAGCAGGUAUUUGACAAUGUCAAAGAAAACCAGAGCACACUGGUUUCUAAUGACAUUAAAGACAGGUCUAUGCCAGUAGAGUGUGCCAGUAUUCCAUGCCAGCCAGCACAAAACAAGGGCUCCAGACCUUAGAGAGCUAGUGUAGCCUUUAAUCACUCUAUUAAUCACACCUCUGCUUUUUUCUGCUUUCAUAAGGCAAAGUUCAAAAAAUGAAGAAAAAAAAUGGCUGCUUUGAAUAAAGGAGAAAGGAAAAUACUGGAGCUGUAGAGUUGGAAAAAGGUUCAAUUUUCUUUGAAUUCGCGUAUCUUUGUAUUUUUAAAUUCACACAACAAAAUGCACACGAGUAAAAAAAGGUAAACACUCUUAACACUUAUUUAUGAAAUAUUUAACUCGAUCGCACAAAUAACCUCAACUCCUCACGAUAGCAAAUUAUUCUCUGACACUCCUCUCUCAUUUCAUCUGAACAGCUGCUUCUGAAGCAUCUCCUCUUCCUCUGCUGUCCUCCCUGACCCCUCCCCCUCCCACCCGCCUUCUUCCUCUCCUCCCCCUCCUCCUCCUCUGGUAGCUGUCCUUUCAGCACCACCGCCACUGCAGCAAAACCCUGCUCCAGUCUACCUUUUUUCCAGCAUGUUUUCCCUGUGUUUUUUUUUCACUCCACCUACAUCUCUGCUACAUAAUACCACUUACAUGACAGUCUGAGUAAUCUCUACAAACACUGAACCACCAGGAACACCACAUUUCUCAUGUUAAACUGCAGCUUGUCAGCCUGCUUUUAAAGGGUUUGAUUGUUCGAAUCAAAACUGCUGUUGAGCAGUUUUAUUGUCAUGCACCAAAAGAACAUUAGCUGCUUUUUUCUUAUUCUCAUGUCACUGAUUCCAGUAAAUCAUCUUUUUUUACCCUCUACACAGGAUAAUAACUGAAAGACACAUCAGAGAAACUAAAUAGCAUUUAAUGAAGUCUCUCGGUAGGCAAAGCCAUUAGGAGGCAAAUAUCCAUCCAUUUGUUUUCCAUUUUAUGUAACAGCUUUUCAGUGAGUAUUUCUUCUCAGUGCGCACUUACAGAACACUUAAACCUCCAUUAAGCCUUCUAAUAUGCUAAUAAUGCAAUAAUCUGUCAUUAAAUCGUCAAAUGGUUCCUGUAUCCCUCUUGCUCUGAGUUAGACAAAUUCGUAGGAUUGUGUUUUGACAGCAGACACAAAAAAUAAAAGUCAGCUUUCUGUAUAAUAACACUAAGUGUUGUCAAUCUCCCCUGACUUUGAAACCUGUUAUUCAGUUAAUGUCUUCAUUUUCUAACCGAAAAAUUCUGUAUUUUCAUCCUGCCUCAACAGCAGCUCGAACCCUUUUGUCAGUCAGUUUUUUAUUAUUAAGUUUGUGCUCAUCAAUCUUCUUUAUUUGUUAAGUUGGAUCUGGUAAUUUUCAACUUUAAAAUAUUUGCUGCUCAAAUUGCAACUCUACCUCAACUCUACCUGCUUGCUGCCGAUGUUUUCAAGUAUAUUUCCAGAAUUAGACUCAGUUAUUUCAAACACUUUAAAUGGAUUGAAUUAAAGUUUCAUUGACUCACUUCUUGGUAUUUCUCAAAUUUGUCUUACUUUUCAUCUGUCUUAUUUAUGCUGUUUUUGUAAUCUGCAUUUUGUUCUCUCAUUUCUUGUCCCCUCCGUCUUGUCAACUACCCAGUUAAAUAAAGUUUAUAUAAAAACAUUCAUGCUUUGCAAUCAGGUUGUUCCUCUGAUGUUGUUUUCUUUUACUGAAGUCUCUCAAGUAAAAAGAUGAGCGUCUGAAAAUUCAGCUAUCACUGCCUUUCAAGCAUCUUUUCUCCAUCCAAGUUUCUUUUCCAUCAGAGUUUUUUUUCACACUCUUUACAUUGCAGUUCAGUCAUUUAGGCUGAUAAGAUCCAAGCUCAGGUAGAGGUAGGUAUAUGAAUUCACUCCAAUGUGCGCUAAUUUCAAUAAUAAAGGAGUCACACCCUGUGAUAUCAACAUGUUAACAGGACAGUGAGAAAGGCAUCAAUCGUAUAAGUUUAAGAUGUGUACCCACUGAAAGUGGUGCAGCAUGUGUGAAAAUCUGUCCCAUUUAUUUAAUAAUGCAACCAUCCUCUUAACUGCGCAAAGCAUGCUGGGAAACCUGUCUUAGAAACGAAUAUGGUGGUGCAAAACAUAGACAUUAUAUAAGUAGACGCCUUAUUACAUGCUGGAGCGUAAUCCAGCGUCGCCGCCAUGUUGGAUGAGUCUCUCCACUCCAGGCUCGCUCAAGAGCCAAACAGGGUUAAUGGAGAAUGAGCAACUAUGUUCAUUUUUUUGCACUCUAUGGUUGAAAAAAACUGAUGCAGUAUUGAAACCAGAUCACAUAGGAUUACAUUUCACGAAUAGGAUUGAAAGAUAAAUUGUUUUAUUUGUAAUGUGUGACAUUAUCCUGUGUUAUGGCUACAAACCUGCCAUUGUAACAAACCAAACAGUCUGAAAAUCGGGCAGAGAUUCGGAGAGUUAUUAUUAAUAUGGUUGGGCAUUCCUACCUACCUUAAUGCACUGGAGGCGCAUGGGGGACCCAUCCAAGAUGGCGGCUGCGCUGAUACGAGAGCUCCAAUUGGUAGCAUCAGGCUUUGAGGCAUCUACGUAUAUUAUGUCUAUGGUGCUAAACUGCUUUUCUCCCUCAAAAGUGAAAAAACAGACCCCAGAAGAUGUUGGUUUAAUUGAAAAGACUCCUAAAUUCAAGGCAACAAGUGACCAGCAGAGGUGGUCAAUAAGUCUAUGUGAGCUCUGGGUCUGCACUGUUACAUGUCUGCUUCUUUUACACCAAGUUUGUGGUUAAAACAUGUAAAUAACUACAUUACAUGAUCUGUUUGGCAAGGUGAUCUUAUAAGUAGGGUUGGGUAUCAUUUGAUUUUGAACGAUUCCGAUUCCUCGUUUUGAUUCCGGUACCUAACAAUUCUUUAUUCCGAUUCUUUUAAAAGGCAGGAUAUUAAAAAAAUGCAUUGUUUAUAUGAGGGUGCUGACCGGAGUUCUUUUUGGAUGACAUUUCUGAACUUCUCCAUGAAUUUUUAAAUUAUAUUCACUUUUUAAGAAAUUUACUAUGAAUUCUUCACAGGAUUUUGUUGUCAGGUCAUUUGUCUAUGAAAAUGCACAAAGGCUAACGUUAGUUGGAUAUAUUUAAGUUGACCCACCGUACACAGUACAAUUAGUUUGUUGCUUCAAAGUUAGCAGAAGACAGAAGUAGUUUAUUGUUUCACUUAUCUGAUUCUGGCUGGUUAGAAGGCCGGUAAGACGAGCACUCGGGUAUUUCCCCUCCAUGAAUCCUGAGGUGUUUAAUCCUGUUGGCCGUUCACCCUCCUUUACAUGAUAUUACGUGUUGCUAAUGUUGCACUGAGAUCAGAGUUCAUUCUUCGUGCUAAAGUUAGCCAAACUAUUGACCGCAGCCGCUGUGGGUUGCACUGCACUUUCUCUCUCUGAGUGGCUUCGUCCUUGUUAGUGUUUGGCGGCUUCUUCUUCAUUGGUGUUUAGCGGCGUCUUCCUCGUUGGUGUUCGGCGGCUACUUCUUCCGGUCGGCUGACUCCAGCACAUAGAUAUAUAUAUAUAUAAACGCUAGAUUGCUUACGCACGCUGUUAGCCAAUGGAGAUCGACGUCCGCGCAUAGCGGCCAUUUUGCUACGGGACGCUCUUCUACUCAUCAACAUUACAGUCUACGGUGUAUGUAGCUGUUAAAUAACCAUAGAUUGUUUAAAUUUAAACCGAUUUUCAAACGGUUUGGUUUUUAACAAACCUCAGAGUUUUAGUGAUGUUCUGACAUACUUAAAAAUAAUUUUAACCAUGGAUUUUCAUAAAUAAACAAUAAGCAGAUAGGUAGAGCAAUAGCUGUACACACACAAGGCAGUUAUAUUAAAUCAUUUAUAUACAAAACAUUAAAUCAUUCCAUGUCGGUUAUAUUAGUAAUACUUCUAUUAUAGGGAUAACUAUAAUAACGUAGCAAUAACAUAUAUAAAUAUUUAUAUUCAAUAUAAAUUUCUGCCUCAUGUUGCCAUUUUAGAUGUUUUUAACAAACCAAACAGCUUGGAAAUCAUGUGCAACUUCAUUUAUGUUGAAACGAAAGAGCAUUUCCGCCUCUCCAACUAAUUUAAAAUCAACAAAUGGGUCAACUUUGUAAUACGUACUUGGUCUCACUCACAGCAAGUCUGUUGGACAAGCUGAUAAACACAAGCACAUCCACAAAGGCUGUCACUUAGACGAAAAAUAUAGGCUGUCAUACAAGCAAUUAAAAUCUCGAUUGUGGUCUCAGUCUUGACAACUCACGCAAAGCGACUCAAAAGUUAGCCCUGUGUGCAAAUAGCCGUGGAACAACUGUGCUGCACGAUUAAGUCUUUUUUUUCUGAAAGAAAAGCUGCCAUUUCAAUAUGUGGAAAUUGUAAAAGCGGGGUUGCCUCUUUUGCGUCUCAGCAAACAUCAACCCCCGCCCCCGCGGUUUCAGGCAUUAAAAAUGUGAAAUACAAACUGAUACUUUGUUCCUAAUCAUCCUGUUUGCUUUUGGAUAUCAUAAAGAGAUAUCAGAGUGAAUUCCAGUCUAUUACAUAAAUGUGAAAAAAAAAACAACAACAACAUAUAGGCACUUUAAAAAAGGGUCACCUCUUGAAUAAAGGGGGUCUCUGUGAUAAAGGAAAAUGCCUUUGGAGAGCUUUGGUUAAUCAGCAGAUUAACAGAUGAGCCUUUCACCUGACAUGGAGCCUGAAAACAUAUUAAAUGCUCCUCUCCAUUUUCAAGGAAUCGCACAGAUUUAUUCUUAUGCUGUGAUUCACCAACCAUCCUUAAUUCCCCUUCCUGUGUAAGACAGCACAUUAUGCUAAAUUUGUCCACUCUUGCGGCCAUUUUGCUGACUGCCUGUAUCUGCUUUGAAGCUGUUUGCUUUGUGUUUUUCAGGUCUGCUGAGCUUGUGGAGUGUCACGCUCACUUAUCUUUAAGGAAAAGGUUUGCUAGGUUCAGACAGUGCUGGCUGUCUGUUAUCAUGGGUCAAGUGUUUUUAUUUUAUUUUUCAUAGCUUGCGUGCGCUGGCAUAUUUGCAGGCGAGCAUCUUUUUUCAUCCUGAUAAGUGACCUGUCUUGUGGAGUACAGCAAGACACCCUAACCUGAUUUAAGAGACAAGAUAGUGUACGUGAUUGUGUGCAUGACAGAUAAUUUGUCAGGAUCUUGUGUUAGCUGAGUGUGGCUUUGUAUUACUUGCUGCAUGCACAUGUGAGCUGCUGUAUGUGUGUAUGUCUGUGUGUGUGUGUGUGUGUGUGUGGUCGGUACAGUAAGCAGCCUAGAGAGCGGUGAAAACAGUGAAGCAGGGCUUGAGUGGAGCCAUGUGCUCAGUGGGGGCACUGGCCCUUUAAUACGUAUCAGCCAAUCAGGCGGGGGAUGCUGGGAGCAGGCCGUCCUUGGGAACGACCUUGCAGGGGGGCCAAGGGAUGGAGAGGGAGGAAGGAAAAGAAGGGGCAGAUAAAGGAGAGGAAGAGAGGAGCUAGUAGAGAGUGUGCAGGGAGAAUGGAGGAUCUCAGAUGAAAUGAAAUAGAGUGAGAAAAAAUUUACAGCAAAAAAAGAAAAAACGUGUAUAAUAUUUAGCUUAAUUUAAUACUCCAAGAAACAGACAGGACACAACAAAUAGGAAGGUAGUAAGAUGCAGACAGAUAAUAGUCAGAUGAAUGAGAGUUAGUUGAGUACAUUAAGAGGAUUAAAAGUUCGACUGGUAGUUCUGCCUCACAUCUCUCUCUCUCUUUCUCUCUCUAUCUCUCUCCCUCUCUUACAGACAUGCAGACGUCAUGCUGUCCAGAUUAAAUUGACAGCGUGCCACGCUUCUACUCUUGCAUAAGAAUUUCUCUGAAAGGGAUGAAAGUGAGGAAUAAGAAUAGGACUCUGAUUUAAAUUUGUGGUUGAAGUUAAGGGAAAGAAGAUAAAGGAGUCUAUCUACGAUUGCUCAAGACUCCUUUUUUUCCUGCCAGGAAACUGGAACGCUGCUUAAAAAAAAGAAUAUAAAACCUCAGAUAUUAUUAGUUGCUUUAUUUCAGAGACUUAAAUGAUAUCGCUUCUAUGUCUGUACAGUCUGUACUGAGUCAAAGUCAGGAGGUAAGCUUAGCAUAACAUUAGGACCACAGAGAGGAAGAAGCAGCAAGUCUGACUCAGCCAAAAGGUAAAAAAAAAAAAAGAACCUGCCUUAAGGAACUCCAAAAUUUACUUACAAAAACAAGAUUCCUCAUUUGUAAAGUCUAGACUAGCACAGAAGGCAAAAGGAACAGUCUGACCCCUUUACAUCUGGCUAAAUGCAUGAUGGUUAGAUACAUUUUUGAGGACUCUGCUGCGCACACUUAACAUCCUACAUACUUCAAAUUUGGGGUGUCCCAAUAUGAUAUUGAUAUUGGAUAUCGGUCCGAUAUCAGCAAAAAAAUCAAAUAUCGGAUUGUAUUGGCCUGCUUCUAAAAUCCCAAUAUCAGCACUCUGAUACAGUCCAUCCCAGGCUCUGCUCUAGCACCUCUAUCUAGCAGCACCCAUAUCCAACAUGUAGAGCCCACCUGAUCACAACAACACUGUGUACUAAGGUACUAACAAGGUAGCAAGGAGUAGGAGUGAUGUCGGCUGUGUGGCAGUAUUUUUCAUAAAAGUCUGAAAAAGACGUUGCAGCUGAGUGAAAAACUUGUUAUGAACAGGUUUGUGCUAAUAUCGGAUCAAUAUUGAAGGCUACAAUAUCGGUAAAAAAAAAAAAGGUUGUAUCAGGACACCCCUACUUCAAAUUGAGAAUACUUGCAAACAUGCUUUAGUUUAUAGAUUGCACACCUCUUCCUUUAAAAAAAUAUAAAUUAUGUUUUUUUCUACAGAGAAAAGAAAAUGGAUCCCCGUCUUUUUUGGCAGCCUGACACUAAAAAAAAUAAAAGAAACUAUAUUUGCUUUGGAGUAAACCAAGCUAUCUGUUUCCUGCUUUUCCCCAUUGAUAUGUCGAGCUAUGCAUUUAUUUCCUCGCUGUAGCAGUUUUAUGAUGCGUGUUAUGAGUUGCAUAGAAUUUAUUUUAUCAUUUGCCAUCAAAACAGAUAAUGUAGUUUAAAUUUUGUCUAAUUAUUCUUUUAAGAGGAGUAGAAGGCGAUAUUUAACCCUUGAGUGGAAAUACACGAUGUUCUCCCUGUUUUUUUUUUAACAUGUUAGACACACAUGGACUGACAUAUUCACACAUGCACUAACAGGCUCCUAUGGACCUAUAGAUGGAUGUAAGAUGAAUGGGCUGUGCUUGGACCAAAGUCCUGAGCAGUUUGACGGUUCAGUGCUUUGCUCAAGGCCAUCGAGGCUUUACCCACUUGAUAAACUGCUGCCUCUCCAGCUGUCACUCCUGGCUGCUGUACCUUUGUCUUUCUGGGAUUUAAAACAGUGACGCUCCUCCGGUUUCCAAACUGCAGUCCUCAACCAUUUUCAGAUGCUACUUUUCAAACUAGAGUAGACGUUUUUUUGUGAAGUUGAUUACAACCUAGUUAAUCAAGUAACCUUGUGAUGCAUUCACUCGUUCUGAGUAAGGUCUCCUCUUUAUGUGGUGUCAGCAGCAGCAGCAGCAGGCGCAGCAGUGCUGUGGCCCCACCAGAUGUGUUGCGGUGUGUGGCCCAAUUCUGUUCCAGAUGACAGAUGACAGUGUUUGCAGGUGUGUGUCUAUGUUUGUGUAAGUAUGUAAGAAAUAAAAAUUUAAACCAUGGUGCAUCUUAAUAUGUUAGUGCCUGUUUGAGUCAGCAUAUUUGAGCAUGCACGACGUACGCCAUGUGUGUUCUUGCUGUGGGAUAAGUGUGUGUGUGGGUGUGUGUGUGUAAAACUGUGAACCUGCUGCUGUGAAAAUGAGUCAAUGUAAUGCAGUAAUGGCCAAAGCUGUGCUGGCAAGGUAACCUCAGUUAUGUUGUCAUUAUGACUGCAUCCUGACGCUACAGACAUGGGACCCCACCCGAAUAAAAAGCAAAAGCAAACACACCCACGCACACACACAUAUAUUUGAAGGAAUAAUGAAACAAAAUACGGCAGUUCAUUUGUCUUGAGUAUGUAUGUCGUUUGUGCGUCUGAGUGCGCCUGUUUCUGCGACUUCCUUGCCCUCGGCUUGUCCACUGCGUGCGUAGUUUCACUUUAAUCCAGAGCUCCGUUCUGACAGAAAGAGGCUGCUGUGUGCUCGUUACAUGGACAACUCUCACAGACGCUGUUCCCUCUGUGGGAGUGUGGAGUGUGUGUAUAAGUGUGUGUGGGUAAUUGGCUCUCCAGUGGACACUGCUUUGUCCCCUCUGUGAGCACUUACUUGUUCAAUCAGUUACAAUCUGUAGCCCAAAUGUUAGCCGAUGGUCACGAGCCAAGAGCCACGAUGCCUAAGACUCAUACUGUACAUAUGACAUCAAGCGUGACUUUAGCACUCCUUAUUCAACGACUAAAGAAGGAUUAGUACUCGUCGUAUUCGCAUGGUAGCCAUUUUCCUCUGAUAAAAUACUCAAGGUGGAGAGCUUGGAUGUUGGCAUACUGUGCUGCUGGGAUUCUGGUUGAAUAAUGUAUGCAUGCACAGGUGUGGUAUAUCUGACAUUUCACUUGCUAAAGACACUGCUUGUGUAAACCUGGAGGAUUAGUGGGCCGUGUAUCGAGGUUUUAAAGCCAACAUAUUUGAUUAAUCUAUAAGCCAGGGAUGCAUGAUAUUGGAUUUCUGCCAUACAGACAUUUUCAAGCUCAUGUCAUACUGAUGCAAGCACAUCUUUAGCCUGUGGAAGCUCACAUCUUCAACCACACUGAAAGGCUGGUAAUCAAUUUAAUUUUCUCUCAAGCUACUUUUUCAUUGAUUGCUUUCGUAGCUUUGUCAAAUGACAGGAUUCACUAGUACAAACACCAUUUCCUUUUAACUUCUUAGAAAAUCCAGGUUUUGCAUAGGAUGUUAGCUCUUGAGAUUUGUUAUUUAAUUAUAAGUGUUAACACUUUAAUGCCUGAAACCACAAAUUAAGGCUAGAAAAUUUGAAUUUUUUUGUUUAUUUCACUUCCUACUGAAAACCAAAAAAAUCAAAAUAUCCUUAAAAUUUAACAAAUAUAUUUAUUUAUCUCGUUUGAUACAUUAGAUGUUUUUGGAAACUAAUAAACUACAAGAGGACAUUUUUAUUAUUUAUCAGACUGUAUUCAGGUGUUUUUUUUUAGUAAUUUGCUGAUCAUAUUGAUUUGAUAGAAAUAUAUAAAAGUAUAUAUCAAAUAUGAUACAAAAGGCAUUAAAGGGUUAAAGGAGUUACAAACUUUUGCUCUAGUGUGCCUGUGGUUUCUGGUGCUUCUGCAGCCAGCCUCAUGUGGGCUCUCAGGGAACUGCAGCCUUAGGUGUUUCCACAUAGGCUUAAUUUCUAAAGACUGGAGGUUGCUGCUUGGCUCGAACAAGCAUUGCAGCUACAAAUGCAGUAAAAAGGUGCCUGAUGAAGUAGUGAAAUAGUAAAGUAAGCUAGCUUAUAUGAGCUUUCUCCCCUUCCUCUCUUCUUACCAAAAUGAUUAACGUUUAUUUCAGUUCUUACAGCUUAAAGCAAGUGAGAAAACAGACACAGUGAAUUGAACAGUGAGAAACGUAAAAUACUAUUUUAUUUACGCUAGAUUUAAAUAUGUAUGAGUGUGUUUAUUUAUGUGCUGUGUAUGCCUUGGUCAACAACCCCUGUUAUUCAGUCAUGAGUUUGUGUCAAAUUUAUUUAAAAAGGGGCCUUUAAUAAAUACCACCACUCUAGAAAUCUUCUGCGCACCCCUGCCUCUGUGUAAAUAUGAACUUCUGAAUGGUAAGGAGCUGUCAGGUCAACCUUUGUCAAAUGACCCUGAAGACUGCAGAAGGCUGUCCUGGCAGCAACCAGCCUUCCCCCCUCCCAUCCCCCUCCUUUCAUCUCACUCCUCAUCACAUUACUCAUCUGUCACGCAUGCUGCACACACAUCAAGGCGGGAUGCUCACGGUACAGGGGCAUCUACAUGUAUGCGUGCAAUUUAUGAAACAUCCAAUGACACCAGCAAAAUUAUAUUCAGGGGUCAUAGUCAGGAGGUAAAUGAGGGCAAGAGAAGAGGUAAAAAAGGAUUUUCUAUGCGGUUCACAUCAAACCAUACAACCUUCCUCUAUCAUCUCAAGACUAUUAACAACAUCCCAUCCUGAUGCAGAGAUAAUGGUCGGUGCAUCUGCUCUGAGCUAGACUGAUGCUUUGCGGUACAGCUAAGGGUUUUUGCCUGCAGCCUACUGCAUGGGUACAAAUGAGAAAUGGGUUACACUCCAAUUUCAUUUAGCUAACUUCAUUGGGAUUGCAUUUGUCUGUCCAGGCAAGCAUUCGUUUCCUUGCAAAUUAGUUCAAUGUACUAACAUGUGACUGUCUCUCUUCUAUUAUCCAUGUAUGCAAUUUCAAGGAGCCCUUCAUCAGAUGCCCUAUCAGGACUUUGCACUCCCCUGAUUAUACUGAGUAUUAGCAUAAAUUAGACUGUGAGCACUACAGUAUCCCAGCCUUUGAAAUGAGCUUUUACACAUCUAUAAAUAGUCUUGGUUUCUUAAAAAAAAUAGCUUGAGAUUUUUUUUUUGUGGAAAGAAACCAGGUUAUUUGAUGUUUUUCAUGCUAACGUCAGGUUUAUUUGAAAUUUCUUUUAUAUUUAUUGCCUCUUUGCUCUAUGAUUGCUACGAUUUUUACGAUUAUUAUCAUUGGGUUAAUUGCUAAAAGCCCAAGGUACGCCAACUGUGCGGACAUGCUUCAACUACAGGUGCUAAUAAAGGAAUCUAGCUUAAGUUGCAAUUUUCACCUCUCUCUCUCUCUCUCUCCUGUGUGUCACCCAUCCCUGUGUCCUCUACAGACUCCAAUUUGUUCUCUCCGUCCUCACCCCUUUCCCACACUCAGCCCUCUCUUUCCUCCUCCCUUUUUUUCCCUUGCGAACAAACUCAGUGCUGAGUCUAAUUUUAGCCGUAGCACGUCAGUUAAACUCAACUUUUUUUGCCCCAGAUAUGUAAGGUCUAAAUAUGCAUUUACACGCAGAACAUCUUGCGUGCGUAUGUGUGUAGCUCGUGCGAACAGUUGAGUUACGUGAUGAGGAGUGAGAUGAAAGGGGGGAUGGGAGGCAGCGAGUCUCCAGGGUCGUUUGACUGGGGUGACCCUAACGGCUGAUUGGCUAAUUCCCUGUCCUCUGAGCCAUCCCAUGAUGCUUAGAGGAAGGAUUGCUCUCAAGGUUACGGAUGCCAACACAUGUAGCUAGCUGUACCACUGCACACACACGCACUCAAAUACACAUAUAGACAAGCAGGCAGAGCCUUAUCCUUGGCAAAGCCUUGGGGAUUGUCACAUUUCCAUUUAAACUGCUGCCAUCAUGUUAUAGCAGUAAAUCUGAGGUCAUUCACAUCCUGCAAAGAGCAAGGUGAGAGACGGACAGAAGACUCUGAGACUGCAGCAUGAACGGUUGCUCUGGGAAGCUAACAUGCAAAGAAAAGGCAUUUACUUUGACUCACAUAUUUGCCCAACACAAUUUAAUUCAUAUACUCACUUGAAUUGAUUUAUUGAAGAAAAAGUGCACCUUUAAACAUAAAGGAAGUACAUUGAUAUACUCUGAUAUUUUUAUACUUUUCUAUCAUACAACAAAAGUAGGUUUUGAUGUUGUCGCAAAAAUGUCGCAGUUUGGAUUAAAACGUUUGUGUCAGGUCACUCUCAGCGAAUCUUUAGCCAUAUUUAUGUUGCCCUUCAGGAGCCAAAAGUAGCUUCAUAUCUCUGUAAUUAGCACAUGACAACUGUGGACAGCAUGAGUCAUCUCAGUGAUAAUUUACUUAAAGCUCCUGUUAGGAGUUCUUGAUUGGGUAUGAAAACAGAAAAAAACUUGUGCUUUUUUGUGGCCUUCAAAACCAAAUGAGACCAAAUGAGCAACAAGAUUUACAAUUUCAUUUUAAUUUAAAGCUCCUGUGAGGAAUUUUUGUCUAUGUUGAACUUGGGACCCUCUUAGGUCAAAGUGUCAACCCCAAGACAAUACUACUAAUAAACUUAUACGAAGUCGUUUUCUUGUGAAAGAGAUGUUACUUGACAGAAAAUCUUCUCCUGUUGUCUUUAUAGUAGAAUUUAUCACACUCUGUGGAUUUUGGCAAAAUAUUGAAAAAAGUAACAAAGGCUGUUUUUUUUUUUCAGUGCACCUACCCCCUUACAGCACUUACAGGCAUUAAAAAUUAUGAUAUAGAAACGGUCAGUCUUGCUGUUGAUGGUCUCAUUUGCUCUUGUACACCAGAGACAUGCAGCGCUCGCUUACGUCAGGCUGUUUCAUAACAAAUCAAAAACUCCUCAUAGGAGCUUUAAUUUUUAAUGUCUGUGAAAAAUGGGACAGGAAGGGAGCCGGGAAAGACAUUUUGAUGAAAGAAAUUGUAAAAGAAAGAAAGAUAUGACUUACACAUAAAAGAACAAAAUCAGCACAGAUGUAAGAGACACUACUUCGCCCACAGGGGGAGCCAAGAUUGACAUAUGUAGAGAGUUGAGGAGUUAUUUGACAAUAGAAUAGACUGACAUUUAAUCUGGUGCAUUUUUAAUGGUAUACAAGAGCACACAAGAUUUUUAAGGACAAGACUGACCCAUUUUAUUUUGUAUAUUUGAAUGCCUGAAACUCGUACAGGAGGGUAGGUGUCAGCUAAACAGCUGAAAAUUCAACCAUGUUUUUUUUUUUUUUUAAUUUCUAUGUGGCUAAUACCAAUGAAUGAUAAACCUAAAUGUCAAAUAUUAGAAUUAUAAGAUUGUAUGUAAGUCAAAAGUCAUUACGAACACGUGUCAGACAAGAUCAGUAAAGACCGCCAAAACUAACACAAACCAAAAGUUCCUACAAGCAGCUUUAAGAUGAGUUUGCUGAUGACAGCUGUUAGAAACAACUCAAAAGCUUUUAGCGAAAAAAAAGAAGUAGUACCAGAGUUCAGAGGUUAUUUUUAAAAAAGUAAUAGAUUGGACAUUGAUCCAUACAGCAUGUCAAUAGUGAGUGACUACAGAUCAUUACAGCAGCCAGAUUACCCUAAAUGCAGCACUGCUUGUAAGCUGUGUCCAGCUGUUUGAGAAUUCUAAUGUAUUAGCCACAUUAUUCAGCCUGAAGACUCUUGCAGCAGCAGCAGAGGUCAAUGAGGAUUAAUUUUUGCCAUAUUACAAACUGAUGACCUGCAUACUGGACCAAUGUUAAGAGGUUAAACUAAAUGCAGGCAGCUUUAAAACUGAGGAGCACGUCUUUAAUUAGGACAGACAUCUUUGUGCCCCUGUGACAUUUGCUAACUCUGCAUGAAAAUUUCAUUGAUAGAUUUAAACCUUGGCUCUCUGUUUCCCUGAGAAUUAUGGGAGCUCUGCGGGUGUGGCUGCUGGCUUGAUCAAAUUGAAACGAACAUCUGGACAUACCCUGGCAGGAUAACAGGCAGAUAACACACAUGAACACAUGCACACACACACAGGCACACACAACUCAUUUGUUUGAGUAGCUUUAACCCACAAAUAAGUCAUGAUUCAUUAGAUUAUGCUAUGUUAGCACAUUCUAAAAUUGCAUGCAACUAAAUCAAAGCUUGUUUACUCAGACUGAAUGAUCAGUCGGGCGAUUCAUCACUCUGUUAAAAAAAGAGGUUGUUAUUCAAGUGUUUCCCUGGCAGCCAUCUGUAUGUACUGCUACGUCUGUGUCAGAUUGUGUGUUUGUUUAUGAGACAGCAAGGUUGCACGUGUGCCCAGAAAUGUGAUGUUUGGGAUUGAAUGAAGUGAGGGAUGAUGAAGGGGAGGGAGUCUGGAUGAGUACCCGAGAGGCACUCAGUCGUUCAAAUGUUGUGUCAUCACUGGAGACUGAAACAUCUGGUACUAUGCAAAGCUGUGCUGGCCUUGACUGACUGGUUUUACUCAUUUAUUCACUCAGAAAACAUAGAAUCAAACAGAGACAGACAGAGAGAGAAAAAAAACUGGCUGAGUGGGAAGUCUGUCUCUCUAAGUGUCAGGAAAUUGUAGGUAGUUGCCUUGGCCAUUUCAUUCUAAUAAACAGCUCUGAAUUAUUCAUCAGAAAGUGGUGUGUAAAUGUCAAUUUCGGCCUGAUUGGAGGAGCUUUUACAGUCUUUUAGCCAGAGGAUGGUUUACAGAGACCAUUUGCUCAGCCUUAGCGCAUACCUGCUCAGGGCUUAAGAAACCAGUCAUAUGGGGUCAGGACACUUUGUUGAUUUUUGGGCUUUACAUGUUUGUGCCUACAGACCACAAAAUCUGACUUAUAUCAUUUGAAACAAAAAAUACAAACCCGAAUUAUUCAGUGACAACACUGCCUGGUGGUGAAAACAUCUAACUUGGCAGGAUUUGAGGUGUUUUGUUCUUUUUCAAACUAACCACCAUUACCAAGUGUCAUUUGGGUUUCUGUCAUGUCCUGUGCGAGCCGCAAUUGUUCUGACAUUGCUGAGAGAUUGCCAUACAUGAUUGCUUGUUUGACAGUUUAAAUCGUACAAUGUCCUACCAGUGACAGCUUGCUUUAUCUUACAGUUCUUAAAGGCUUCUACAGAAAAUCAGAACAAUUAAGUUAUUAUAUCUGUCAAAAUCUGACUUAUUUUCCCCUAUAUGACUGACGAACAAGUUACCAAGAAAGUGGCUUUUAACGAUAGACAGAGAAAAGGAGAAACCUCAUAAAGGAUGAACAUUUCCUGACAUGUAUAUUUACAGCCAAGAAAAACAAAUAAGUGUUUUUGGUGAAUAAUUCAGAUCAAGGAGUAGCUUAAAAUAUAAAGUUGGAUAUGUGCAAAAAUGUAUUGCCCUUUGUGCUGAAGAUGAGCCCUGUCCCAAUUUCUCCCAUAGAAAUACUGAGAAUGAAUAAUCAAACACUAAAUGGAUAAGUAUUUCUGGAGGGACGACCGUUAUAACCUCUGUGAGAGAUCCGUGGACUUCGAUAAUUUAUGCCAAGGAACAUUGAGUCUGUUCUAACCGCAAAUGUUAGUCCAGUUUCUGAAAUACAUCAUCAGCUGGAUUCCCUGUUGUUGUUGUUCCCUGUUUGAUUUAAUUUGUUUCCAAAAUGGACAACCAGUUCAGGGACAGCGAGUUAAAGCAGCGGAUCUCCAGAGAGGAAACAAUGAACAUUCAUGAUGUACUUAAAGGCAAAGCACAUUGCAAAUGAGUGACAUACAGUAUGUAAGGGAUAAUGUGGAGUUAGCCUGUGGUUAUGUGCAAAAUAAUCUGUGACAGUGUGAACAAAACUCCUUAGUGUAAUGUCAAGAAUUUUCUUUGGUGUAUUAGCAAGCUACCUACAGACUGAAUAAAAAAAUACUAUAUUGUUGAUUUAUUUAAAGGAGUUCUCUCACUUUUAAGAAAUGGGCUAAAAUCAAAAUUGAUUCAUUUUUAUGAUAUACAAAAGCCAAUAAGACCACCAGCAACAAGACUGACUGUUUUGAUAUUGUAACUUUUAAUACCUGAUGUGAGGGGUUAGGUGGAGGUCUGACCGCCUUAGAAACAGCCCUGUCAUCACUAUUUUCACAAACAUAUUAACAAGAAAUGACACAUUUGACUUUUUCAGAGUCAGCAGAGGGAAUUAUUUAGUAAAAAGAUACUGUUUAAGCAUGUAGAUGGUAAAGACUGCUUUGUCCACAGGGGGCGCCAAACUAGACACAAGCCAAAAGUUCCUUACAGGAGCUUUAAAAAUUAUUCAUUUUUACAGUUUAUUUUUCACUCAACCAGCCCGUAACACUACCAAACCAUAUAUUAUUUUGUGGUUCGAGAUUGCUUUGUGUCUGUUAUCUUCAAUCUGGUCAUCAUCUCUUUUACUCAUUGGACUGUUUGACCGCUGACCACCCCCCAUAUGGAAAACAGCUGCGAAGCACCUGGACCUGCAUUCAUUAUGAACAGGCAGGAAACAUGUUUAGAGAGCGGAACACGACAUGCAAAAAUGUCACCCAGCUGGAAACAGAGCAGAUGUUGCAGCUUUGUGAUAUACAUUUUGGCUAUUCAGCUACUGAAGCACACCUGGAUGACAGACAUUUAUAUCUGCGUUUUUAUUAUUAUAUAAAAUUAGAGAAAUCGGAGGAGUUUUCAGAAUCUGGUAACAUAAAAAAAGACUGAAAUUUGCAUGUCAACUCAGUCGUUGAGAUAAGCUUUAGAGAUCUGUUGAUAAACCUAAAAAAUUUCAUCCUAGAUGUGAUCUUAUGGUCAAAAAUGCAACUUUAAGCUUUGUAUGAGUACACGAUUCAUUCACUAUCUACAUAUCCACACAAUAUACCCUAAUGCCUCUACCAAAGACGCUUAAUAUACUGUUACAUACAUCUUUAUUUGAACCCAUCUAUCAACCAGGACAAUAUUUGUCUUUUGACAGUCAUCAUCCCCCUGAGUAAUGCUGUCCUAAUGCUCAGUUUUAUGAAUAAGUAUGAAUGUACGUCACUUUUUAUUGCAUUCCUCUGAUCAUCCUUAUAUAAGCAUAAAUAUCCUCCAAGUGAAUGAAAAUCCUGAGCAUUAGUUUUACGACCCUCAUCAUUUUUCAUCUCAUGCUGCAGAUUGAAGCAUAUUUCUCUUCUGCUGUAUUAUACUCGUGUGUUAUGGAGCUAUACUUCAUGAUGAAUUAAGGUCAAAUAACUCCAUCUCCUCUCUGCCUCUUUAUCUCAUCCUGUCCAGGUGGAGCACCUGCUUAACAACGCAACAAAAACCUCCACAUCUGUGGGCUCCAACCCUCUGCCUGUAUCUGCAGUGCAGGCCUGGCUUUGUUUGAGGAGGAGAACGCACAGCGGAUCCAGAGGACUGGAGCUGAGACACGGCACAGCAUGAUCAUAAUAAGAGGACUUUCAUGUUGCUGGGCAUGUUGGAGACGAGGGUAAUAAUGUACCAGCAAGUAAGAAUAAAAAGAGAAAAUUAAAAAAAGAGGAAUGUGAGGAGAGUCAGAGCGCCGUUAUGAGAAAGUUCUGUCCACACAGAAUAUCACAGAUCAUCAGAGGAGUGAGUCAAAGAACGUGUAAUAUCUCAGCCGCUUCACACUUUCUUUCUGCCAUGCCAUCCUCACACACACACACACACACACACACACACACGCGCACACUUACAUUUCAACACAGGAAGUAUGUUUCGCCCUCUACUAAAUAAUGACAGAGCAAGUUACGAUCAUGUUUAACUGAAUUUGUGGGUAACCAUGUGAGCUCAUGGUGAUUUGAGCCCACCAAGGAGGACAAUUAAAGGCCAUGCUUGACAUUCCAUCUCCCUGAAUGAGAAUAUGUUGAGACACUCAGAGGGAGUCACUCAGCAGGUACAGAAGAAUGAUGCAACCUGAGCUGAUGGCAUUAAAAAUUAACCACCAUUUUAAACCAACUUGCAGCUCCACUGCCGCAGGGACAGCAGCUGCAAAUGUCACAAACACAAACACACAUGGAUGCUCCUGGGCCGAACACUCGCUGUUCACCCAAAACACACAAUCCUGCUCUUUGCUUGUCUUUGACUCACUGUUUACAACAUUAACUUAAUUAUCACCCUUGAUAACACCCAGUGUGUAGUGGCCUGUAGAUCCAAUUCUGGUAACACUUUACAAUAACAAUAAUUUAUAAAUAGGAAAUAGAUAGUUUAUUAAUGUUUAAUCAUCAUUUAAAACAGCAUAUAGACCAAUUAUAAAUGGCAAAUAGAUAGUUUAUAAAUGUAAGGUAAUAUAAUUUUCAUUAAUUAUUACUGGACUAUUGAUUAAAGGUUUAUAUAGGGUUUAAAUAUUGGUUGUAAACAUCUAGAUUAAAAUGUGUGUCAGUAGCACUUUGUAAAUGAUGAAUAUUUGUUUUUAAAACAUCUAUAAAUAUUACUUAGAUGGUUAUUGUAAAGUUGCAGCUGGCGUUUGUAAUACUUUGUAAAUGAUGAAUAAGUGCUUUAUAAACCACCUAUAAACACUACUUAGAUGGUUGUUGUAAAUAUAGGGUUAGAGAUAGGGUUAGGUUUUUAAAAUUGUAAAAUGUACAAUUUAUUGAUGGUCUAUAUGCUAUUUAUUGAUGAUGAUUCAACAUUAAUAAACUAUCUGCUUACCAUUUACAAAUGGUCUAUUUACCACUUAUAAGCUAUGGUUAUUGUAAAGUGUUACCCCAAUUCUUUAUCUUUACUGACAAAAUCUCACACUCAGUUUGUCUAAACUUUUUUCAACAGCUUGACUUGGUCCAGUAUGACCAGUUUAUGGUAGCUAGUCAUGCUAGCGAACAGUAUUCGUUACUGAUUUUAUCCUCAAUCUGAUAACUGAGUCAGUCCACCGACAGCAUGACUCAGCUUUACUUGGACUAAUAUUACACAUUUUUUUUAACCUGGAAACCAGACAAAUCUGCAAGCUCAUGUUUUAUUUGGAGAUGUGUCUGCUGCUCCCCUCCCUCUCAGACAGAUCUGUCUCUGUGAUAUGGAGCAGGUUUAAGCUCCUCUGGGGCAUUUUUGUAAACAACAAAGAUGGCUGCCACUGAUAUGGAACAGUCAGAAUCCCCUGUUGUGUUGGUAUUAAAAAAAUGGCAGUUCCUGUCAUGUACAAAUGGUUUCCGAUGGCCAAAAUAGUUUUAAAAUUCGAGUUAUGUGGGACAAGAAGCCUUAGACUAUGAAUUAGGAUUAGGAAAUAUUAGCUACUGAUAUGCCAGUAAACGUUUAUUUACCCUGGUUUGUUGUCCCUUCUGGGGAAAUGUCUGUCUGUGCCUGUUGAUAAUAUGAAAGGUUUGAACCUUAUCACAUAUGAGGAGUCUCCUUGUGAUGCUAGGGUGGCUUGCUUGCUAGCUGGACAUUAAUAUUGGAAUCUGAAAGUCUCAGUAUCAUUUAAAAGUGCCCUAAAGGGACAUUUUGGCAUAAAAUUGAUUUAGGGUCAAACACACUGUAACACCAAGUUAGACACCCAUUCGAGCGAUGAAUGUUGCCGACUACUUGCUUCCCUAGUUAUACCAACUUUAGUAACGACCGCAGGAUAGCAAUACACAGCGGUCUGAGGAGCCACACAUAAACCUCAACCAAAACACCACUCUAUAGCCACAAAUAAUGCUCAGAACAGCACCUAACUUCAUCAACAGAACAUAUAGGGUCUCAGCCACAGCACUAGCCACCAAACAUCUUUUUACCUUUGCCUAAUUUCUUUAGCAAAGAGACUAAACACUACUAACCUGCUCUCUUCCAGCAGCCGCUUGUUUACAGACUACAGCGGGGUGACGCAGCUCAAGGAAGAACAUUUAUGAUCAUUACUUUAUCAUUUCCUUGAAGUUAAAAUCAUCAUAUUAAUCGUUUUGCACUGCAGACUGCCUUACUGUCCUGAAGUCCCGCCACAAACAAGAGGCUGCUGGAAGAGAGUAGGUGAGUUGUGUUUAGUCUCUCUGCUAAGAAAUCAGGCGAAGUUAAAAGGUGUUUGGUGCAAAUUUAAAAAUGUGUAGUUUAAUUUUUCUGUUGUAGGUCACCAAAAAAAUACAGUAAUCUUAGUCAGAAUAUAGUCGGGUUUUCACAUUUACUAGGCUGUUUUUUUUAUUCCAAAUAUGGGCGAGACACAUGUUACAGUGAGAUAUUUUGGUCUCUUGUUGCUACACUGAGUCUCUGACCUUUAUUUGGCCUUGUAAGCCUCUUUUGAACCUUUGUGUUCAUAAAUUUUUAAAGACAAACUUUUCUCAAGCUUUUCUUGCUUGCCAAGUUUUCCCACAUUCUUCUUUUGCCAUUUUGGCCUCUCAUUGCCACAUCUCAAGGACCCAAUGUCUAAGUUUUCAAAGAACAUUUGGAAACAUGUUACAAACAAAUUUGAACCAAUCCGAGUUGAGCCAGGCCUCCCCCAGCUGUCCACUGGCCUUGUCUGCCCUCCACCUUCAUCUCCUCUUUAAUCCCCAAAGCCUCUCUCCCUCUUUCUCUCUCUCUCCCUCUCUCUCUCGUCCGUUUCACAACCCA